Long non-coding RNA from Tyto alba (common barn owl), 2234 nucleotides. RefSeq lists it as uncharacterized. The record is from RefSeq and is a predicted model, not a curated record. NCBI's taxonomy places the organism in Eukaryota, Metazoa, Chordata, Aves, Strigiformes, Tytonidae. The transcript has 3 exons.
AAAUGUUUAUUUUUAAGAUUGCGACGUCUAGAUGUUUCUCGCCAUUCGCUGUAGAAAGCGGGGGGAUUUUUUUUUUUUUUUUUUUUUUUCUCGUCAACAAAUCUACCUUGAUCUAUGAGAGGGCGAACAACCACAUCCUUCCUACAAACCGUGCCUGGGGCAGGCCCCUCGUCCCUGUUUUCCAGCCAGGUUUUGGAGAGCAGGGACAGCUGUGUUGUCCCUCGUAGGAGACUUUUGACUCGGAGAAACCCUCGAAUUUUCAUUCCUAGAUCAUUUUUGCUGAGCAGACAUUCCUCCCUGACGGGCGGGGGUUAUUUUGCCCUUGGUUUUAAAAGCUGUUUAAUGAUUUUACAGCUCAGGAAAACACUGGGAGUGGAGGAAACGGGAGAACAAUAUUUUUGGAGCCACCCAACAAAGCAGAAAUGGAAAACAGGGCCUUCCAAGACCUCCCCACCCCGAAUGAGGAAAGAGGAUGUGUUUUUGUUAGGAGUUGUCUCUGUUGUCCUUUGGAGCUUGUUUGUCCGUGUGUUCCUGGCACGCACCGUGCUUUUCUUUCUCUGCCAUCCUCUCCUUUCCCUGGAGUUAAUUCACACCUGUUAGCAUAAACCGAUAAACCAGCCAGAUAAACUGUAGGGCAUAAACUGUUCGCCUGCCAAGCUGCAGGACAAAUUUCCUUACUGGGAGAGAAUUUUUUCACAAUUAGGUACGUAAUGGAGGAACUGCACCUUUUUCCUGCCACCUCUGGUCCCGGCAAGCUCGCCCCAUUGUCUCUGGCUGCACACUAGGAAAAAAGGUGCCGGAUUAAGGAAGAAUUGUGGAUUUGUUCUAAUUCGGCAAAACGAGGCGCGGUCUCUUCCCAGCCUUGCCAGCUAUGGGGUAUUUGAUCCCAAAGACCCCGGCUUGGAUCCGCGCCCGGCGUUCCCUCAGGAGCCGUGUUUACGCUCUCCCUCUCCGGUUUCCUUCGGUGCCCGUCUUUCCAAGGAAGAUGCAUCCAGCCCACGGCUGCUCGCUCUUGGACAGUAAAACACAUUCCAGCAAUGUCAAAGGACGAUCGAGUCCUAAACCACGGCGCUUGCCAAAGACACCGUCCAAGGCACGUUCCACAGCCCCGAUCCUCUCCACAUUUUUCUUUAUCUGUCACUCAGCUUUUGCCCUUUGCUCUCCUGACCCCUAUCCGACUGGAAAUGCCUCCCCGGUCCUUCUGCAGCGGAACGAGCAGCUGUAAUUUCCUCAGGGCUGACUUGGUUCACAAGGUUUCCCACGCAGGCAGCACCCUGCACGAAGCAAGGGGUUUGGAAAUGCUGAGGAAUUUUAGCUUAUAAAAACUAAAGCUUUAAAACGUCACGUCUCCUUCGCAAAACAAGGGCAUCAGAAGAGAGGCCACUUGGAUUUCUGGGCAGAGACCAGCUCUUGGGGGGCUUCCUUGCUCCCACUAAGGAUUUAUUUUAAGGCAUUCACCCCCCUUUGGGCUCAUUUCCUACGGGGUUUGUUGGAGGAUCCCCCCCACCCCUCACUGGGAGCAAAGCUGCUGCCGAGGGUGGAUGGGGAGAGCAGCCAGAGCCUUGUCCCCUCCCGGCGUGCCCGGCCGGGGGCGAGGGACAGCGAGGAGAGCUGCAUGACUAACGUUACACGCCGGGGAUGACCGGGUUCAGAAGCAGCAGGGUUGGGCUGAGUGAGAAACCAGGCCCUGAGGUGACUCACUGAAAGCCAGGACUGCGGUCAGGGUCACGGAGAAGGAACUGGGUUAUCGGGAGGCACUACCCAUCGUUGCCUGGAGAAGCCACCCUCCUCUCGUGGCAGGCUGGCCUUUGUCCCCUCGACCAGACAACCGACUGCCACCCAUAAACUGCUGGGAGAGCCGCGACGGCUUGUGUCCCCACUGCCUGUGUUUCAUAGCACUGCGCGGGCUGUGGACUGUUUUGAAAUGCUUCGUGGCACCCGUAUCACGGAUCAGGAUCCCCUGUCCCCCUUCCCCAGCCUGGGGACUCGGAUCUUGGCUGGGCCGCGGGCGGCUUUGACCUUGACGAGGCGCAGCUCUGCCUUGAGAGAAAAAAUGUAAACAGCUGAGAGGAACUAUCUUGAAAGAAGGAAAAUAAGAAAGCAGGAAAAGAGGAUGUCAGUGACUCAAUCGGUGCGCGUGGACAAAAGAAAGUAGCAAAUCAGUGUAUUAGCUUAGGCGCGUGAACAGGGCACUAGAGCCAAUAGAAGAGCUGUAACCGGCGCGUGCAUGAUAA